CUUUUUUAGCGCCAUCUGCUCGCGGCGCCGCCUCCUGCUCCACCCGCUGCCGCUGCCGCCCUGAGUCACUGCCUGCGCAGCUCCGGCCGCCUGGCUCCCCAUACUAGCCGCCGCCUGCCUAGGGUAGUUAAAAGACGAGUGAAUGCUCUCAAAAACCUGCAAGUUAAAUGUGCACAGAUAGAAGCCAAAUUCUAUGAGGAAGUUCACGAUCUUGAAAGGAAGUAUGCUGUUCUCUAUCAGCCUCUAUUUGAUAAGCGAUUUGAAAUUAUUAAUGCAAUUUAUGAACCUACGGAAGAAGAAUGUGAAUGGAAACCAGAUGAAGAAGAUGAGAUUUCGGUUAGUACCAACUUUAUUUUAGUAUGUUUUUUAGAUGAUAAAAUCUUAGGACUUGUCAGAAAUGUUAGCAUUUAAUGAUGGAGUACAAUAUUAUAUAACCAGUUGUAUUUUUUUCACUUUUUCAUUUUACAUCUUUAUUACACAUUUUUCUAAUAAUUUAUUUUUAAAAAACAGUCAUUCAAGAUUGUAAUUUGCAUGGCAAU
Molecule: small RNA, 539 nt
Filed under: Pongo abelii (Sumatran orangutan)
Lineage: Eukaryota; Metazoa; Chordata; Mammalia; Primates; Hominidae
Description: retained intron
Source: RNAcentral